GAUGAACGCUGGCGGUAUGCCUAACACAUGCAAGUCGUACGAGAGUUUUUAACUCUAGUGGCGGACGGGUGAGUAACACGUGAGAAUUUGCCUUUAGGAGGGGGAUAACAAUUGGAAACGAAUGCUAAUACCCCAUAUGCUUUUGAGUGAAAUGGAUUUUAUCCGCCUAGAGAGAAGCUCGCGGCUGAUUAGCUUGUUGGUAAGGUAAGAGCUUACCAAGGCGACGAUCAGUAUCUGGUUUGAGAGGACGAUCAGACACACUGGAACUGAGACACGGUCCAGACUCCUACGGGAGGCAGCAGUGGGGAAUUUUCCGCAAAUGGGCGAAAGCCUGACGGAGCAAUACCGCGUGAGGGAAGACUGCCUAUGGGUUGUAAAACCUCUUUUUUCAGGGAGGAAUAAAAUGACGUGUACCUGAAGAAUAAGCAUCGGCUAACUCCGUG
Molecule: ribosomal RNA, 443 nt
Filed under: uncultured bacterium
Lineage: Bacteria
Description: bacterial SSU rRNA
Rfam family: Bacterial small subunit ribosomal RNA
Source: RNAcentral